AGUGAACGCUGGCGGUAGGCCUAACACAUGCAAGUCGAACGGCAGCACAGUAAGAGCUUGCUCUUACGGGUGGCGAGUGGCGGACGGGUGAGGAAUACAUCGGAAUCUACUUUUUCGUGGGGGAUAACGUAGGGAAACUUACGCUAAUACCGCAUACGACCUACGGGUGAAAGCAGGGGAUCUUCGGACCUUGCGCGAUUGAAUGAGCCGAUGUCGGAUUAGCUAGUUGGCGGGGUAAAGGCCCGCCAAGGCGACGAUCCGUAGCUGGUCUGAGAGGAUGAUCAGCCACACUGGAACUGAGACACGGUCCGGACUCCUACGGGAGGCAGCAGUGGGGAAUAUUGGACAAUGGGCGCAAGCCUGAUCCAGCCAUACCGCGUGGGUGAAGAAGGCCUUCGGGUUGUAAAGCCCUUUUGUUGGGAAAGAAAAGCAGCAGGUUAAUACCCCGCUGUUCUGACGGUACCCAAAGAAUAAGCACCGGCUAACUUCGUG
This 492-nucleotide ribosomal RNA is filed under the name uncultured bacterium. Its description in RNAcentral is "partial 16S ribosomal RNA". It matches the Rfam family "Bacterial small subunit ribosomal RNA", at positions 29 to 507 of the family's 1533-position model. The record is from RNAcentral.